GCCUAGGUGGCUCAGUUGGUUAAGUGUCUGACUUCGGCUCAGGCCAUGAUCUCAUGGUUGCAGGUCCAAGCCCUGCCCUGGGCU
Molecule: transfer RNA, 84 nt
Organism: Felis catus (domestic cat)
Lineage: Eukaryota; Metazoa; Chordata; Mammalia; Carnivora; Felidae
Rfam family: tRNA
About the family: Transfer RNA (tRNA) molecules are approximately 80 nucleotides in length. Their secondary structure includes four short double-helical elements and three loops (D, anti-codon, and T loops).
Source: Rfam